Heterocephalus glaber (naked mole-rat) is the source of this 5288-nucleotide non-coding RNA. NCBI's taxonomy places the organism in Eukaryota, Metazoa, Chordata, Mammalia, Rodentia, Bathyergidae. The record is from RefSeq and is a predicted model, not a curated record.
UCUACCAACCCAGGGGCUACCUCACUAGCACUGGGGAUACAGGGAGCCGAUCUGAAUUCAUUCUCCUGGUCUUUAGAGAGUGGAAUUCCACUGUUCUUCAGGAAACAUUAGUGUCAUUGAUGUGUCAUUGGGAUGUUAUUCUUUCUUUUUCAUGAAUGGUUUCCUUCAGUUCAGGAAGAGUUGGCUAAUUCCCUCAGAGGGAGGUUGUGGAGCCUUUGGAAUUCAGUAGAGUCCAGGGCCCAUCUUUGAGGAACAAAGGAUGACAGCAUGAAUGCCAAUGUCAUGCAUUUCUGACAGACAGGACCAUGAUGGGACAGAUAAGAGAACAAAGCUGCAUAUAAAUAAUAGACCUUACCAUCUUGGCUGAUUUUUUGAUACUUGAGAAAAUAUUACCAUUUUCAAGUUGGGUUGACACAGUAUGUAAAGCAGCAGUCUCCCUCCAGCUCACACUGAGUUAGCUACUAGAGAGGGGCUCCAUCCAGGGGCACCUGUGUCCACUACAAGACCCAGUCCCUUUCCCAUCCCUGCUGUCCAUUAAAACGGGUGCAGUCGAGCAUCACUGGCUAUCUGAUCAAGGCCUGGUCAGCUACUCCGGGACGACUGGUUCAAACUGAGCCAUUGCCUGAGGACAGGGAUGCCAGAGCCAGGAGAAGGAGCCCCUCCUGUGUUGCGAUGACUCCCAAGGGAGGUGUAGAACAUUUCGGAGGAGUGGUCUGAGAAGGAAGACUUUGGGGCCCGAUAAGGAAAGAACAUGGAUCUUCAGCCCUUCAGUUGCAGUUUCACUUGAAGGUAGCCCAAACCCUGAGUAAAGAGAAUUUCCACAAAUUUGGUCUUAGAAGAUAGAAGAAAGAGGCUGGUAAGGGAUGGGUUAAACAGGACAUCACGUCACUAGCUACAUUGUUAGCUGAUUGCAACCAAAAGAAACCAAUUGAGCUAACUUCAGCAAACCAGGAUUGUGGUGGGAGGGGGGAGAGGCUCACAGGAAGGACCAAGGCACAGAAAGGCCAGGAGCCAGGGCCACUACAGAUCUGCAUGCACUUGGCUGUUUCCAGUCUCAGACCACCCAGUUUAAGACUCACAGCUGAGGAGAAGGCAUGCGAUUUGGCUAGCUUGUCAUGGGAUUGACAGGGCCACCAAGGCUGCAAGCAAUGGGUGUGGGACAGCUCCCCAAAGAGUAUUGGAGAGAAGUUUCCAGAAAAAGGGUAUGCUGGGCAAAAAGAACAACAGGUCUUCUACCGCAUCCCAACCCCUCCUCCCCAUACCCACAGACGCCUCCCUCCCUCUCAACCUCUCUCUCCUCUCGCCUUCAGGUUUGUCUAAUAUACGAGAAAAGCAGUCUUCCUUCCAUUGAUCCCAAGCUUCUCCAGUCGAAAUGAGGUCACCAUCACCUUAUUGUGGACACCCUUCCUUCCCUUCACAGAUGCCUGCUGUGGCCACCCGUGUCCAAUGUGUGUUCUGGCGACAUCAGCAGGUCCUGGGGAGAAGCUACUCAGGAAGAACCAGGUGUGGGAUAACGUGUACAAUUGCCCCUUUCCUAUGAACCUCUUUGGAUGCAAAUAGACAAUUCUACAGAGGAUGAAGGCAGGGCCCAGGGACAGAAGCUGAACCUUAUUUAAAACUGACAAGGAGAUGUCUGUAUUUGUUUGGAGUGGGGAGUGCAGGGCAGGGGGCACGGCGGUGAGGUGUGUGCUGGUCUGUGUGGCCUGGGAGGGUGCAGAGCAGACAAGGCCACUGGUGCCACAUCCACCACAAGCCGAGGAGCCCAAAUCGGCCUACCCUGAGGCAGCACCUCAGGUGCUGGAGGAGAGUCAGCCCAAGCGAGGAGUCCCGAGGGCUGCCUCUUCUGAAGAAGGGCCAUGGGGGUGGGCAUACAGAGUGCAGAGAGUCAGCAGGGUAACCAGCCUCAAUACAAGCAGAAGAUGAGAUCAGAGAGGGUGGCUGGAGCUGGGGGAGUCUGAGGGAAGGAAAUGACUACAGGAGAAACAGAUGCAAUUGAGCAAGACUCCUGGAGAUGGAUUUCCCUGCCUUGGUCCAAACUCAAAUCCCUGUGCUCAGAUUAAUUAGCAAGGAAAUAUUUUCCUGUCUGCAGAAAAAGGCUGCCGGAUUGCCAGUGGGACGUGAGGGUGGGCAGUCUAUCAAAUAACUACUAAUUAGGUUACUUCCCACUGCUGUUGACAUGCUGGGGACAUGUUCCUGGACCAAAAUAAAAGGGGGAGGAGGGGAGAGGAACAGAAGCAGAGAAAGAAGAGCAUACCAGGUUCCUCUCAGCUCGCUUUAGAAAACCUCAGCUGGAAUUAGGAAGGAAGGGAUCCAAAGCCCAAAGAGGGGGUGGCAGAGGAGAAAUGGUGUGCUGCCUGGAGACACCCGUGCCAAGACCUGUACUCACACUUGUAUUUCAUUGUCUCCUACAAGUGAUCCAAAAGCGCACACAGCUGAGGCUGUCACUGGGGAGGCCUGGGAAGGGCAGUGUCGAUGCAGCAGGAAUUUGCGUGAUGCAAGUAAUGAUGGGAGAUGUUCAUUGGGGUUUACUAUCUGCCAGGAACUGUCUUCCUAAGUACUUCCUUCACUCAGGCACUCAACAGAUGUGAGACGGGAGCUAAGAGAUUAGCAUACAUUUGCCUCAUUUAUCCUCACAACUAUAAGGAAGACAUUUUAGCUCUUUAUUAUAGAUAUGGAAAUUAGAGCCCAGAGAGGUUUAAUAAUUCAUCCAUAUCACACAGCAAGUAAGAAGUUAUGAAGCUCAGUUUUGAACCAAGAUCUGCCUGACUCCAGCCCCACCUGCCCCUAAUCUCUGCUUAUAGAUAAUGCACACUUGCUAAUACACAGUCUCUUCUUUCUUGUUCCUUUGCCUGAGAGUCCUAACUCCUUCCUGAAGUUCCCAAGGUGUAUUCUUCAAUACAUCACACACACACAGGAACUGUAUCUGUAUUGCAAAGCUCCAGUUUCCCUGAGGUCCGAGACUUUGAGGUCUGGUAGUGACCUUGAGGUCAUUGUCUAGUUUCUUUAGCCAGAAACUAAACUGGAACCGUGUCAGACGGAUGGACAUUCAUCUAAUUGCAGAGAUCAACAAAGCACAGUAGUACCACCACUUCCAUGGACAACACCAUGAGCCAUCUUCAUUGUGCCCAUGUGGCAUCUGUCCGUUUCGUCCUUGGUAGAGACCAGGCAGGUGAAUCAGCUGGUGUGGGCAUCAUGGCCCUCAGCUGUCCCUUCCGCUGAUGGUCCAUUCUCUUCUCUCCACCCUAUCCUUGAAAGCAGAGUUGAACUACAGUGUGGUCCAUAUCUCUCCACAGUGAGUAUCUCUUCUGGUGAGUUCUGAUCUUCAGUGGUGGUGUGUAUCUUUUCCACCUUCAAAGUUCUCUCUUGUCGCACUCAUCCUUCAGUUAAAGUAGCCCUUUAUGGCCAUGGUAGACUGAGUAUAUUUUGAAUCCAAGGACUGCAUCUUUGCACAUUUGUGUCUCUUGCACUUAGAAUCAUAGCGGAGUCCUGGUAAUCAGUGUCCCAAGAAUGACUGCUGAAUGAGAGUGAAGCCUUAACGAUUCUUGUUGGCUCUCAUCCAGCCUGCCUCUAAAUGCCUUCCUAGUUUUAAUGCUGGCCCUAGAACCCCCCUAGAAGGACCAACACAUCUAACUGUCCCAAGCCCAGUAGAAAGAAAGAUGACAGCACCCUCAAGAUGCUGUCUCAUCCUGCAGGCAUCCAGGCUCCCUCUCAACCUGAAAAGAGCAGAGAUGUCAAACACGUGGCGCUCCUGCCAGACCAAGAUCAGGAUGAAGGGGCUGCUGCUCUUGAUCAAGGCCCUUUGGAAGCAGAUCCAGGCCUGAGGGCCUGGGCACGGGAUGCCCUGGGAGGGCAUGGGGGAAGCAGCACAAGCGGGGAUGAAAGAGUGCCCCGGAAAACCUACUUCCCUGGAGCAGGUCCUGUGUGAGCCAGAGAAACCUCCCUACAGAGGGGUGAGCUGGCAGAGCAAGUGGGUUACCUAAAAAUAAAAUUGAGAAGAAUGAGUCUCUAAACUUUAGUGUUUUAAACAUGUACAAGAGGGAGAAGGUGAUCAGGCUCUCCUCAUAUCUGAAAGCACUUAGCUAUAAAAUUAAGCAAGCACAGUCAGGCUAUCUACAUCUAAGUUUAAAUUCAUGAUUACAUCCAAAUAUGUUUGAAGUGCACCAUACAUGGUCUUUUGCUAUUUUAUAAGGGAAUGGCUCUAUUUCUUUUAUUUUAUAUUCUAGAAUAAAAACAUAUUUGUUAUUUCAACCAGAUGCAAAUUUUAACUAUGGGUAACUUAUCCCAUCCCACUUGUUAUCCUAAAUGAAAAGCAAAGAUAAACAAAUUUCUCACCAAGCCUAUCACCUUUCUGCCUCAACACAUGGGUUUAUUUUCAUUUCUUUUCUUCAGAACCAGGUAUCUCCCUUUAUACAAUUCGCUUUCUUUCAUUUUUUAACUUGUAAACCUACAAAAUUUAUUUUUCUAGGAUGAAGAAGGAAAAAGUCAAUUGAAAUUAUUCACUCUGUUGCAAGUACAGGUAUUCAUAAAAGAGUGGGCUGGCUUCCCACGACAGGAGCUGGUCCUCUGCAGUUUUUGUCUCGGCAGCUGCACGCAGUUUGAUUAUUUCUCACUCACCAGAGGAAAGAAUCAGAGCGUUCACCCCUACCUGGGACUCCAGGAAAGCAGGCAGAUGUGGCUUGGGGAUAAGGAGAGAUGGUGCCAGUUUAUCAUACCUGAGUCUGAUGGAAAUGGAAUCACUGAAAGUCUGAAAUGAAAUUCACACCAUAGGUUGGGAGUACUGUGUCCUCAGUCACAAAGAGACACAGACAGGGGACUGUCAGCUGGUGCCGGAGGAGCUGAGCGACAAGUCCUCAGCCACUGGAAACACCUGAGUGACCAGUCCACGGCCGCCCAUUCUCCAGCCAGCCCAGGCAUAUGCCUCCUUCCCGAAGCCUCCCUAGUGAUGACACCCAGCCGGAAGGAAAGCAACCCUGUUCCAUACUGUAUGUUGAGCAUCUGUGGCUGAUCCUCACCGGUGUCCACACACCUGAAGCAUACACCAGUCACAUCUGCCCUCGGAUACCUACAGGAUGCUCAGAAGCUCCUUGCACCCCCACUCACUAGCAGGUCCCAACACCUGCCUGCACUCUGCCUGCUAAAACCAAACAGAUUUGAGACACAGAGGGACCCUGCGCUCAUGGGACCUGCCUAUGUCCACAGUCCCCUGAUGCCACUUUAGGAGAUAGUAAAAGUCCAACUUUGGACUUGAGCAAGUCUGGCUUUGAGUUCCAGCUCCACUGCUCAUUAGC